RNAcentral lists this ribosomal RNA (372 nucleotides) under uncultured Bacteroidota bacterium. RNAcentral describes it as "bacterial SSU rRNA". It matches the Rfam family "Bacterial small subunit ribosomal RNA", at positions 524 to 898 of the family's 1533-position model. Lineage: Bacteria; Pseudomonadati; Bacteroidota. The record is from RNAcentral.
UACGGAAGGUCCGGGCGUUAUCCGGAUUUAUUGGGUUUAAAGGGAGCGUAGGCUGCCGGUUAAGUGUGUUGUGAAAUGCAGGCGCUCAACGUCUGCCUUGCAGCGCAUACUGUCCGGCUUGAGUACGCACAACGUUGGCGGAAUUCGUCGUGUAGCGGUGAAAUGCUUAGAUAUGACGAAGAACUCCGAUUGCGAAGGCAGCUGACGGGAGCGUUACUGACGCUGAAGCUCGAAAGUGCGGGUAUCGAACAGGAUUAGAUACCCUGGUAGUCCGCACGGUAAACGAUGGAUGCCCGCUGUUUGUCCUCAAGGAUAAGCGGCCAAGCGAAAGCAUUAAGCAUCCCACCUGGGGAGUACGCCGGCAACGGUGAA